GAUACAGGCUCAGUGGCGUAUCAAACUGAUGAGCAGAGAGGUGUCUGCUAUGCACCUACACUACUGCAGUCUACAGUUGGGUGGUCCUAAUCACAAUCUAGAAACUGUUUCCUGGGCCUUUGCUAAAAAGUGGCUGAAAAUUCAAGAUCCCCUGAAUCAGCAGCAGUACAAGGGUUCUUCGGUUAAUUUAGCAAACGUAAUUGCUUUAGCAAAGGUCAUGAAAAGUGUGACUCUGGAAUAUCAAAUUGAGUCCAAACCUACAUGUAUUCAUAUGUACAAAUACUAGUGAAUGAAAAAAAAAAAAUAAAAUCUUCUCACAGUAAUGACAUUUCCCAGGACUAAAGAACAAAAGGAUCACUGGGAAUCGGCAAAAUAAAAACAAGGGAGAAAAAAAGACUUAAUUAUGCUCUAUAGAAAAAAAGGUUAAUAUUUAAUAUAAAUUACUAUUGUGUUGCACAGAAUACUAUGGUGACAGCAAGCUAGCAAGGGUGUGAAACUGAAAGAAAGCAAUGCUUUUAUACUACUGCUCUGUAUUCCUGGUAUAUCCUUCCUUAACAUAAGUGUUAACAUUAAAUAUAAUGCUACAAUGUG
Molecule: long non-coding RNA, 591 nt
Organism: Strigops habroptila (Kakapo)
Lineage: Eukaryota; Metazoa; Chordata; Aves; Psittaciformes; Psittacidae
Exons: 2
Source: RefSeq, a predicted model, not a curated record